GUCCACGCCGUAAACGAUGAUCACUCGCUGUUAGCGAUACACAGUUAGCGGCUAAGCAAAAGCAUUAAGUGAUCCACCUGGGGAGUACGGCCGCAAGGCUGAAACUCAAAGGAAUUGACGGGGGCCCGCACAAGCGGAGGAACAUGUGGUUUAAUUCGAUGAUACGCGAGGAACCUUACCUGGGCUUAAAUGUAGAGUGCAUGGGGUAGAAAUAUCCCUUUCCUUCGGGACUCUUUGCAAGGUGCUGCAUGGUUGUCGU
This 259-nucleotide ribosomal RNA is filed under the name uncultured bacterium. RNAcentral describes it as "partial 16S ribosomal RNA". It matches the Rfam family "Bacterial small subunit ribosomal RNA", at positions 793 to 1055 of the family's 1533-position model. The record is from RNAcentral.